This 700-nucleotide ribosomal RNA is filed under the name uncultured bacterium. Its description in RNAcentral is "bacterial SSU rRNA". It matches the Rfam family "Bacterial small subunit ribosomal RNA", at positions 120 to 807 of the family's 1533-position model. The record is from RNAcentral.
GGUAACCUGCCCAUCAGAAGGGGAUAACACUUGGAAACAGGUGCUAAUACCGUAUAACACUAUUUUCCGCAUGGAAGAAAGUUGAAAGGCGCUUUUGCGUCACUGAUGGAUGGACCCGCGGUGCAUUAGCUAGUUGGUGAGGUAACGGCUCACCAAGGCCACGAUGCAUAGCCGACCUGAGAGGGUGAUCGGCCACACUGGGACUGAGACACGGCCCAGACUCCUACGGGAGGCAGCAGUAGGGAAUCUUCGGCAAUGGACGAAAGUCUGACCGAGCAACGCCGCGUGAGUGAAGAAGGUUUUCGGACCGUAAAACUCUGUUGUUAGAGAAGAACAAGGAUGAGAGUAGAACGUUCAUCCCUUGACGGUAUCUAACCAGAAAGCCACGGCUAACUACGUGCCAGCAGCCGCGGUAAUACGUAGGUGGCAAGCGUUGUCCGGAUUUAUUGGGCGUAAAGCGAGCGCAGGCGGUUUCUUAAGUCUGAUGUGAAAGCCCCCGGCUCAACCGGGGAGGGUCAUUGGAAACUGGGAGACUUGAGUGCAGAAGAGGAGAGUGGAAUUCCAUGUGUAGCGGUGAAAUGCGUAGAUAUAUGGAGGAACACCAGUGGCGAAGGCGGCUCUCUGGUCUGUAACUGACGCUGAGGCUCGAAAGCGUGGGGAGCGAACAGGAUUAGAUACCCUGGUAGUCCACGCCGUAAAC